Molecule: ribosomal RNA, 422 nt
Filed under: uncultured bacterium
Lineage: Bacteria
Description: bacterial SSU rRNA
Rfam family: Bacterial small subunit ribosomal RNA
Source: RNAcentral
AGCGAACGUUUGCGGCGGGCCUAACACAUGCAAGUCGAACGCACUAGCAAUAGUGAGUGGCGCACGGGUGCGUAACACGUGGGUAAUCAACCCUUCAGCUUGGGAUAACGACUUGAAAGGGUCGCUAAUACCGGAUACGGCGAGAGAGGCUUCGGCAUUUCUCGAGAAAGCCUCGCAAGGGGCACUGAAGGACGAGCCUGCGGCCCAUCAGCUAGUUGGUGAGGUAAGAGCUCACCAAGGCGAAGACGGGUAGCUGGUCUGAGAGGAUGAUCAGCCACACUGGAACUGAGACACGGUCCAGACUCCUACGGGAGGCAGCAGUGGGGAAUAUUGCGCAAUGGGCGAAAGCCUGACGCAGCCACGCCGCGUGAGCGAUGAAGGCCUUCGGGUCGUAAAGACUCUGUGGGGAGAGACGAAGAAAG